RNAcentral lists this ribosomal RNA (251 nucleotides) under uncultured bacterium. RNAcentral's name for it is "partial 16S ribosomal RNA". It matches the Rfam family "Bacterial small subunit ribosomal RNA", at positions 104 to 339 of the family's 1533-position model. The record is from RNAcentral.
GGGUGAGUAACGCGUAGGCAACCUGCCCCACAGCCGGGGACAACUUCCCGAAAGGGAAGCUAAUACCGGAUACGAACCGGGCAUCGCAUGAUGCCGGGUUGAAAGAUGGCCUCUAUUUAUACGCUAUCGCUGUGGGAUGGGCCUGCGUCCGAUUAGCUGGUUGGUGAGGUAACGGCUCACCAAGGCGACGAUCGGUAGCCGGUCUGAGAGGAUGAACGGCCACAUUGGGACUGAGACACGGCCCAGACUCC